CCUACGGGAGGCAGCAGUGGGGAAUAUUGCACAAUGGGGGAAACCCUGAUCCAGCCAUGCCGCGUGUGUGAAGAAGGCCCUCGGGUUGUAAAGCACUUUCAGCGAGGAAGAACGCCUAGCGGUUAAUACCCGCUAGGAAAGACAUCACUCGCAGAAGAAGCACCGGCUAACUCCGUGCCAGCAGCCGCGGUAAUACGGAGGGUGCAAGCGUUAAUCGGAAUUACUGGGCGUAAAGCGCGCGUAGGUGGCUUGAUAAGCCGGUUGUGAAAGCCCCGGGCUCAACCUGGGAACGGCAUCCGGAACUGUCAAGCUAGAGUGCAGGAGAGGAAGGUAGAAUUCCCGGUGUAGCGGUGAAAUGCGUAGAGAUCGGGAGGAAUACCAGUGGCGAAGGCGGCCUUCUGGACUGACACUGACACUGAGGUGCGAAAGCGUGGGUAGCAAACAGGAUUAGAUACCCUGGUAGUCCACGCCGUAAACGAUGUCGACCAGCCGUUGGGUGCCUAGCGCACUUUGUGGCGAAGUUAACGCGAUAAGUCGACCGCCUGGGGAGUACGGCCGCAAGGUUAAAACUCAAAUGAAUUGACGGA
Molecule: ribosomal RNA, 587 nt
Filed under: uncultured bacterium
Lineage: Bacteria
Description: bacterial SSU rRNA
Rfam family: Bacterial small subunit ribosomal RNA
Source: RNAcentral